AUAACUCAGUAGGUAGAGUGUUAGGUUGUGGGUCUAAAAGUCACGGGUUCAAAACCCGUUAUC
This 63-nucleotide transfer RNA is filed under the name Astrosyne radiata. It matches the Rfam family "tRNA", at positions 7 to 64 of the family's 71-position model. From Rfam's summary of the family: Transfer RNA (tRNA) molecules are approximately 80 nucleotides in length. Their secondary structure includes four short double-helical elements and three loops (D, anti-codon, and T loops). Lineage: Eukaryota; Bacillariophyta; Fragilariophyceae; Cyclophorales; Cyclophoraceae. The record is from RNAcentral.